RNAcentral lists this ribosomal RNA (1530 nucleotides) under Salmonella enterica subsp. enterica serovar Bovismorbificans. RNAcentral's name for it is "bacterial SSU rRNA". It matches the Rfam family "Bacterial small subunit ribosomal RNA". Lineage: Bacteria; Pseudomonadati; Pseudomonadota; Gammaproteobacteria; Enterobacterales; Enterobacteriaceae. RNAcentral also lists the same sequence under 1 other name. The record is from RNAcentral.
AGAGUUUGAUCAUGGCUCAGAUUGAACGCUGGCGGCAGGCCUAACACAUGCAAGUCGAACGGUAACAGGAAGCAGCUUGCUGCUUUGCUGACGAGUGGCGGACGGGUGAGUAAUGUCUGGGAAACUGCCUGAUGGAGGGGGAUAACUACUGGAAACGGUGGCUAAUACCGCAUAACGUCGCAAGACCAAAGAGGGGGACCUUCGGGCCUCUUGCCAUCAGAUGUGCCCAGAUGGGAUUAGCUAGUUGGUGAGGUAACGGCUCACCAAGGCGACGAUCCCUAGCUGGUCUGAGAGGAUGACCAGCCACACUGGAACUGAGACACGGUCCAGACUCCUACGGGAGGCAGCAGUGGGGAAUAUUGCACAAUGGGCGCAAGCCUGAUGCAGCCAUGCCGCGUGUAUGAAGAAGGCCUUCGGGUUGUAAAGUACUUUCAGCGGGGAGGAAGGUGUUGUGGUUAAUAACCGCAGCAAUUGACGUUACCCGCAGAAGAAGCACCGGCUAACUCCGUGCCAGCAGCCGCGGUAAUACGGAGGGUGCAAGCGUUAAUCGGAAUUACUGGGCGUAAAGCGCACGCAGGCGGUCUGUCAAGUCGGAUGUGAAAUCCCCGGGCUCAACCUGGGAACUGCAUUCGAAACUGGCAGGCUUGAGUCUUGUAGAGGGGGGUAGAAUUCCAGGUGUAGCGGUGAAAUGCGUAGAGAUCUGGAGGAAUACCGGUGGCGAAGGCGGCCCCCUGGACAAAGACUGACGCUCAGGUGCGAAAGCGUGGGGAGCAAACAGGAUUAGAUACCCUGGUAGUCCACGCCGUAAACGAUGUCUACUUGGAGGUUGUGCCCUUGAGGCGUGGCUUCCGGAGCUAACGCGUUAAGUAGACCGCCUGGGGAGUACGGCCGCAAGGUUAAAACUCAAAUGAAUUGACGGGGGCCCGCACAAGCGGUGGAGCAUGUGGUUUAAUUCGAUGCAACGCGAAGAACCUUACCUGGUCUUGACAUCCACAGAACUUUCCAGAGAUGGACUGGUGCCUUCGGGAACUGUGAGACAGGUGCUGCAUGGCUGUCGUCAGCUCGUGUUGUGAAAUGUUGGGUUAAGUCCCGCAACGAGCGCAACCCUUAUCCUUUGUUGCCAGCGGUUAGGCCGGGAACUCAAAGGAGACUGCCAGUGAUAAACUGGAGGAAGGUGGGGAUGACGUCAAGUCAUCAUGGCCCUUACGACCAGGGCUACACACGUGCUACAAUGGCGCAUACAAAGAGAAGCGACCUCGCGAGAGCAAGCGGACCUCAUAAAGUGCGUCGUAGUCCGGAUUGGAGUCUGCAACUCGACUCCAUGAAGUCGGAAUCGCUAGUAAUCGUGGAUCAGAAUGCCACGGUGAAUACGUUCCCGGGCCUUGUACACACCGCCCGUCACACCAUGGGAGUGGGUUGCAAAAGAAGUAGGUAGCUUAACCUUCGGGAGGGCGCUUACCACUUUGUGAUUCAUGACUGGGGUGAAGUCGUAACAAGGUAACCGUAGGGGAACCUGCGGUUGGAUCACCU